UACGUAGGGUGCGAGCGUUGUCCGGAAUUACUGGGCGUAAAGAGCUCGUAGGCGGUUUGUCGCGUCUGCUGUGAAAACUCAGGGCUUAACCCUGAGCCUGCAGUGGGUACGGGCAGACUAGAGUGUGGUAGGGGAGAUCGGAAUUCCUGGUGUAGCGGUGGAAUGCGCAGAUAUCAGGAGGAACACCGGUGGCGAAGGCGGAUCUCUGGGCCAUAACUGACGCUGAGGAGCGAAAGCAUGGGGAGCGAACAGG
RNAcentral lists this ribosomal RNA (253 nucleotides) under uncultured bacterium. Its description in RNAcentral is "partial 16S ribosomal RNA". It matches the Rfam family "Bacterial small subunit ribosomal RNA", at positions 524 to 776 of the family's 1533-position model. The record is from RNAcentral.